UGAAAGUGUCGUUUCUAGAGCUGGUAUGAGCAUAGGAAGUGUUGAUUCUUUAAAUGAAAAAUAUGUCCUUUUCUGUAAUAAAUGUCUCCUAUUUUCUCAUCCUUUCCCACUGGCAGCCUCUCCACCAUCUUUCACUGCCAUUGCCCACAGCGGAUCCCAGGACUGGAUGCAAGAACAUCCGCAGAAGCCCUGCUUGAGUAGAACAGAGCAUGUCUGCUCUUUGUGCUCGUGUUCACAAAACGAAGACCUUGAAGAAGGGAACUGGAGCCUUACAACUUCACUCUGUCAAGGAACAGGGGAAAAAGAUGGUUAGAGCUACAGAGCAGAUCACUGGCUGAGCUGAUGAUCACACAGAGGUAUCAUUCUGAUAAGUCUUUCACCACCUGCUGAUUGUCUUCCUUCUGCUGGGUGUUCACAGGUAAAGAAACUGGCCCUUCCUUAUAAGAUACUGUAGUAAUGGUGGACACUUAUUCCCUAAAGGAAUUUUUACUUUGCAUCCCCUAUUUGCCGUUGAUCUAGGAUCUUUAUCUCAUCUAUGUAACGAGCUAAUUCUUUUCUUUUGUGAAAUAUAUGUUUGUGUUUAAAGUACAUUUCUUCUUUUUCGCUUGUAAACUUAGGCCACCAUGGUGACAAUAAUUCUAAUACUCCAGAUCUGAAUUAAUCAUGCUGAAGAUACUUUUAACCUAUUGUCCUUUAAGGACAUAGGAGAAGAUGGUUAAAAGUCUUGUGGUUCAUCAGAGAAAAAGUGAAGUGUUAAUUGGAGUUUCCGAUACUUUCCAACAAGUGAGCGUAACUGGAGUCCAGACAAAUAAAAGGGAAGGUGCUGGCCUACUCUUACUCUGU
This 843-nucleotide long non-coding RNA is filed under the name Struthio camelus australis. Its description in RNAcentral is "lncRNA (ENSSCUG00000009030.1)". The record is from RNAcentral. Lineage: Eukaryota; Metazoa; Chordata; Aves; Struthioniformes; Struthionidae.